This 465-nucleotide ribosomal RNA is filed under the name Vreelandella stevensii. RNAcentral describes it as "partial 16S ribosomal RNA". It matches the Rfam family "Bacterial small subunit ribosomal RNA", at positions 338 to 795 of the family's 1533-position model. Lineage: Bacteria; Pseudomonadati; Pseudomonadota; Gammaproteobacteria; Oceanospirillales; Halomonadaceae. The record is from RNAcentral.
CCUACGGGUGGCUGCAGUGGGGAAUAUUGGACAAUGGGGGCAACCCUGAUCCAGCCAUGCCGCGUGUGUGAAGAAGGCCCUCGGGUUGUAAAGCACUUUCAGUGAGGAAGAACGCCUGGUGGUUAAUACCCAUCAGGAAAGACAUCACUCACAGAAGAAGCACCGGCUAACUCCGUGCCAGCAGCCGCGGUAAUACGGAGGGUGCGAGCGUUAAUCGGAAUUACUGGGCGUAAAGCGCGCGUAGGUGGCUUGAUAAGCCGGUUGUGAAAGCCCCGGGCUCAACCUGGGAACGGCAUCCGGAACUGUCAAGCUAGAGUGCAGGAGAGGAAGGUAGAAUUCCCGGUGUAGCGGUGAAAUGCGUAGAGAUCGGGAGGAAUACCAGUGGCGAAGGCGGCCUUCUGGACUGACACUGACACUGGGGUGCGAAAGCGUGGGUAGCAAACAGGAUUAGAUACCCUAGUAGUC